Molecule: non-coding RNA, 368 nt
Organism: Meleagris gallopavo (turkey)
Lineage: Eukaryota; Metazoa; Chordata; Aves; Galliformes; Phasianidae
Source: RefSeq, a predicted model, not a curated record
CCCGGCCGGGGACGCGGAGCGUACAUGCGAGUCAGCGUGGCUUGUCGUGUAACUUCCAGGCAUUUCGGACUCAUGCAGCGUUAUGACAUGACCAUUUCUAGUUGGAAAUAUGAAGAAAAUAUGUGGAAAGGAACAGCGAUGCAAAAAAAAAAUGGGUGCCCACACCAGAUGAUGUGUAUAGAUGUAAAAUCUGUACACCGUAAAAUCCAGUGACCAAAGGUUUACUAACAGACAACUCCUAGCCUUCCUGUUAAGAGAGUAUCAUUAGUCUCUGUAACAGUAAGUAAACCCACUGCUUCUCCUGCUUAUCAGACAUGCUUCCUUCCUGUGUCAUGAAUUAUAUCACCACACUGAUGGGAAGAAGAGUA